Molecule: ribosomal RNA, 125 nt
Filed under: Erinaceus europaeus (western European hedgehog)
Lineage: Eukaryota; Metazoa; Chordata; Mammalia; Eulipotyphla; Erinaceidae
Source: RNAcentral
GAAUACGGCCAUACCACCCUGCGAUCUCAUCUGAUCUCAGAAACUAAGCAGGGUUGGGCCUGGUUAGUACUUGGAUAGGAGUCAUAAUUUUUUUUUUUAUAAGCGUGAUCAUUUUAUUUUAUUCA